UUAAUUUCCUGCCUCUUAUAAUCAAAACCCUCAAAUCCCCCAUAGCCAAUAAUUGAGCAUUUCAUUGCAACUCCUAGGGAAGAUGACACGGGAAUUAAAACUCCCGAUUAUUUUGUAUUGAUUGUGACAUCUUUGAAUUAAAAUUUGAUGUAGAUGAUUCAUUUCC
Molecule: non-coding RNA, 166 nt
Organism: Arachis ipaensis
Lineage: Eukaryota; Viridiplantae; Streptophyta; Magnoliopsida; Fabales; Fabaceae
Source: RefSeq, a predicted model, not a curated record